This 253-nucleotide ribosomal RNA is filed under the name uncultured bacterium. Its description in RNAcentral is "partial 16S ribosomal RNA". It matches the Rfam family "Bacterial small subunit ribosomal RNA", at positions 524 to 776 of the family's 1533-position model. The record is from RNAcentral.
UACAGAGGGUGCGAGCGUUAAUCGGAAUUACUGGGCGUAAAGCGUGCGUAGACGGUUAUUUAAGUCGGAUGUGAAAGCCCCGGGCUCAACCUGGGAAUUGCAUUCGAGACUGAAUAGCUAGGGUGCGGUAGAGGGAAGUGGAAUUUCCGGUGUAGCGGUGAAAUGCGUAGAUAUCGGAAGGAACAUCAGUGGCGAAAGCGACUUCCUGGACCAGUACCGACGUUCAGGCACGAAAGCGUGGGGAGCAAACAGG